Molecule: ribosomal RNA, 1371 nt
Filed under: metagenome
Description: bacterial SSU rRNA
Rfam family: Bacterial small subunit ribosomal RNA
Source: RNAcentral
UUCAGGACGAACGCUGGCGGCGUGCCUAAUACAUGCAAGUCGAGCGGACAGAUGGGAGCUUGCUCCCUGAUGUUAGCGGCGGACGGGUGAGUAACACGUGGGUAACCUGCCUGUAAGACUGGGAUAACUCCGGGAAACCGGGGCUAAUACCGGAUGGUUGUUUGAACCGCAUGGUUCAAACAUAAAAGGUGGCUUCGGCUACCACUUACAGAUGGACCCGCGGCGCAUUAGCUAGUUGGUGAGGUAACGGCUCACCAAGGCGACGAUGCGUAGCCGACCUGAGAGGGUGAUCGGCCACACUGGGACUGAGACACGGCCCAGACUCCUACGGGAGGCAGCAGUAGGGAAUCUUCCGCAAUGGACGAAAGUCUGACGGAGCAACGCCGCGUGAGUGAUGAAGGUUUUCGGAUCGUAAAGCUCUGUUGUUAGGGAAGAACAAGUACCGUUCGAAUAGGGCGGUACCUUGACGGUACCUAACCAGAAAGCCACGGCUAACUACGUGCCAGCAGCCGCGGUAAUACGUAGGUGGCAAGCGUUGUCCGGAAUUAUUGGGCGUAAAGGGCUCGCAGGCGGUUUCUUAAGUCUGAUGUGAAAGCCCCCGGCUCAACCGGGGAGGGUCAUUGGAAACUGGGGAACUUGAGUGCAGAAGAGGAGAGUGGAAUUCCACGUGUAGCGGUGAAAUGCGUAGAGAUGUGGAGGAACACCAGUGGCGAAGGCGACUCUCUGGUCUGUAACUGACGCUGAGGAGCGGAAGCGUGGGGAGCGAACAGGAUUAGAUACCCUGGUAGUCCACGCCGUAAACGAUGAGUGCUAAGUGUUAGGGGGUUUCCGCCCCUUAGUGCUGCAGCUAACGCAUUAAGCACUCCGCCUGGGGAGUACGGUCGCAAGACUGAAACUCAAAGGAAUUGACGGGGGCCCGCACAAGCGGUGGAGCAUGUGGUUUAAUUCGAAGCAACGCGAAGAACCUUACCAGGUCUUGACAUCCUCUGACAAUCCUAGAGAUAGGACGUCCCCUUCGGGGGCAGAGUGACAGGUGGUGCAUGGUUGUCGUCAGCUCGUGUCGUGAGAUGUUGGGUUAAGUCCCGCAACGAGCGCAACCCUUGAUCUUAGUUGCCAGCAUUCAGUUGGGCACUCUAAGGUGACUGCCGGUGACAAACCGGAGGAAGGUGGGGAUGACGUCAAAUCAUCAUGCCCCUUAUGACCUGGGCUACACACGUGCUACAAUGGACAGAACAAAGGGCAGCGAAACCGCGAGGUUAAGCCAAUCCCACAAAUCUGUUCUCAGUUCGGAUCGCAGUCUGCAACUCGACUGCGUGAAGCUGGAAUCGCUAGUAAUCGCGGAUCAGCAUGCCGCGGUGAAUACGUUCAAAG